CGGAGCAGCAAAGGAACAGCGCCGGGUCUCAUCGGAUCUUACCCUGUGCUUCCAGAAGGGGGAGGCCGCCUCGGUAGCUCUCUAUAGGCAGCGCCCUGCUCCUCGGCUUGGCCGUCUCCCGCGCUCUGUCACUUGUGGGCUAACAGAUACCUGUCCCAGAGUGGGCCUGACCUUGCCCGUGAGACCAGCUUCACCAGCUCUCUGAGAGCCUCCCUGAAAUGUACCACCAUUUCUUUCCAUGGCUGUGUUCAUUUUCUCCAAGACCAAUGGAGUAGAAGAUUCAGGAGGCUUUCCAUCUUAGAUUACAGGCAACAAAAGAAAUUGGAUGGAUGCUCUCCUGGGGCUUCUUCCAACUCUAGUAUUUUAUGACUACACAACCACUAAUCUCAAUACUGAUGUCCUUAUUUACAAAGAGAAUGCCGCUGAUAUACCUCAG
Molecule: long non-coding RNA, 436 nt
Organism: Zalophus californianus (California sea lion)
Lineage: Eukaryota; Metazoa; Chordata; Mammalia; Carnivora; Otariidae
Exons: 3
Source: RefSeq, a predicted model, not a curated record